This 440-nucleotide ribosomal RNA is filed under the name uncultured bacterium. Its description in RNAcentral is "bacterial SSU rRNA". It matches the Rfam family "Bacterial small subunit ribosomal RNA", at positions 49 to 498 of the family's 1533-position model. The record is from RNAcentral.
UUAUGCAUGCAAGUCGAGCGAAGCUUUUCAGUAGUUUACUACAGAAAAUGACUGAGCGGCGAACGGGUGAGUAACGCGUGAGCAAUCUACCUUAGUUACAGGGAUAGCCCGAGGAAACUCGGAUUAAUACCUGAUAUUCUUUACAUUUCGCAUGAAAUCAAAAGGAAAGGUCAGCCGAACUAAGAUGAGCUCGCGUUCUAUCAGCUAGUUGGUGAGGUAAAAGCUCACCAAGGCAACGACGGAUAGCUGGUCUGAGAGGACGAUCAGCCACACUGGGACUGAGACACGGCCCAGACUCCUACGGGAGGCUGCAGCAGGGAAUAUUGCGCAAUGAGCGAAAGCUUGACGCAGCGACACCGCGUGUGGGAUGACGGAUCUAGGUUUGUAAACCACUUUCAGGAGGGAAGAAAAUGACGGUACCUCCACAAGAAGCCCCGGCC